RNAcentral lists this long non-coding RNA (223 nucleotides) under Medicago truncatula (barrel medic). Its description in RNAcentral is "long non-coding RNA (MTRU_LNC004951)". Lineage: Eukaryota; Viridiplantae; Streptophyta; Magnoliopsida; Fabales; Fabaceae. The record is from RNAcentral.
CACAUAAUCAUCAUCACAACAUUCAUAAUCAUCUUCAUGUAACAUCCUAACAACCUCAUAUUCAACACCAUAAACAGUCAUCAUAACAUUAUAAUCAAUAUCAUAAUAAUAUAAACAACAACAUAUAUUCAACAAUAAUGUUCUUACUUCUUUAACUUUAGUAACACUUGCUAAUUCAACCAACAACGACGACAACAACAAGAUUCAACGACAACGACAACAA